Molecule: ribosomal RNA, 429 nt
Filed under: Actinomycetes bacterium
Lineage: Bacteria; Bacillati; Actinomycetota; Actinomycetes
Description: Actinobacteria bacterium partial 16S ribosomal RNA
Rfam family: Bacterial small subunit ribosomal RNA
Source: RNAcentral
UAGGGAAUCUUCCGCAAUGGGCGAAAGCCUGACGGAGCAACGCCGCGUGAGUGAUGAAGGUCUUCGGAUCGUAAAACUCUGUUAUUAGGGAAGAACAAAUGUGUAAGUAACUAUGCACGUCUUGACGGUACCUAAUCAGAAAGCCACGGCUAACUACGUGCCAGCAGCCGCGGUAAUACGUAGGUGGCAAGCGUUAUCCGGAAUUAUUGGGCGUAAAGCGCGCGUAGGCGGUUUUUUAAAUCUGAUGUGAAAGCCCACGGCUCAACCGUGGAGGGUCAUUGGAAACUGGAAAACUUGAGUGCAGAAGAGGAAAGUGGAAUUCCAUGUGUAGCAGUGAAAUGCGCAGAGAUAUGGAGGAACACCAGUGGCGAAGGCGACUUUCUGGUCUGUAACUGACGCUGAUGUGCGAAAGCGUGGGGAUCAAACAGG